AGCAGAAGUGGGUCAACAACAGCCUUGAGAGAGACUUCUGACUCAUGUGAACAUAUGUGUGUGACGUCAGCAGGGUUACAGCGUUGACAAGGUUAUUUUCAUUCAAUGUUAUUCGCUUGUGCUCAUCAGUUCUUGGCAGUGAACACAGAAGUGCAGACGCCGUGUCCUUUCACUUACCAGCUGCGCUUUGUCAAACCUGCCAUCCGCUCGGCUGCUCGCACUGGACACGAUUAAAGACAUUCAAGAUAUAUAUUCGCUAAAAACAACACACACUGAAUGCAUCUAGUUUUAAGCACUAUAUUACUGAAAACAGUGCAUAUACAAACACAUAAGUUUCAUAUUUUAAGCACAAAAACAUUCUUUCCAAUGAUGCAGAACAUUAACAUAAAUUCUGUGCUGUUUUCCUCUGUAGGGUUGAAGUUAAAGUCCCGGAGCAUCUCAUCAUACAGAAGAACAACAGAAGAUGUGGCCGUCGAGUGCAGAAGAACAUGUGUCUGUCCCCGACUGAUCCAUACUCGGGCAUUCUCACUACCGGCGUUACCGUAG
This 546-nucleotide long non-coding RNA is filed under the name Sinocyclocheilus grahami. RNAcentral's name for it is "lncRNA (ENSSGRG00000027004.1)". The record is from RNAcentral. Lineage: Eukaryota; Metazoa; Chordata; Actinopteri; Cypriniformes; Cyprinidae.